AAAUGAGUUUCAUGAAACGAGGAUCAACCCCAAGCACUCUUUCCUUGUUAUUUGGUAGAUUGAAAGGUACACUGAACAUUCUUUUUCAUCUGGUCCCCGUGACCGAGUUUUUGUCUUUCCUGACUAUAGGUCUUUAAACGACCACAUGAUUUUAAAGCUAAAAGGAACAUGGGAGGCAAUUUCAUAGCAAAUUGAAAUGUCCGUAAGCAGACAUAUUAGUCUUUCUAAGGCUGUUAUCACAAAUUACUAUAAACCUAAGAACAAAACAAGUUUGUUCUCUCUCUGUUCUGGAGACCAGAUGUCUGAGAUCCAGGCAGGGCAGGACACUGAGAUCCAGGGGGAGGGCAGGACCUCUGAGAUCCAGGCAGGGAAGGACCCCUGAGAUCCAGGCAGGGCAGGGCCACUGAGAUCCAGCAAGGGCAGGACCACUGAGAUCCAGGAGGGGCAGGACCAUUGAGAUCCAGGCAGGGCAGGGCCACUGAGAUCCAGGCCGGGCCGGGCCACUGAGAUCCAAGAGGGCAGGGCCACUGAGAUCCAGGCAAGGCAGGGCCACUGAGAUCCAGGCAGGGCUGUGCUCCCUCCUGAGGCUCCAAGGGAGGGUCCUUCCAGCCUCUUCCAGCUUCUGGGGCUCCAGGCACCCCUGGGCUCGUGGCCACAUCCCUCCCA
This is a long non-coding RNA of Herpailurus yagouaroundi (jaguarundi), 666 nucleotides long. RefSeq lists it as uncharacterized. The transcript is spliced from 2 exons. Lineage: Eukaryota; Metazoa; Chordata; Mammalia; Carnivora; Felidae. The record is from RefSeq and is a predicted model, not a curated record.